CUUAAAGCAAAAGCUGUUUUGGUGUUUAAUGUGUCAAUUUAUUACUACUAUUAUUUUAUGAUGUGUCUUGUCCAUUAUGUACUAAUCAGUCCCUGGAAAACAAUUUUACCAAUUACACCACAAAUAAUCUUGCUUAUCCUGUGUGACUACACCCUGUUCCAAAUUAUUAUGCAAAUGCUAUUUUUCUCAUUUACCUAAAUAAUUGAUGUAAAUAACAGUCAGC
Non-coding RNA from Pelobates cultripes (western spadefoot toad), 223 nucleotides. The record is from the annotation of a GenBank genome assembly. NCBI's taxonomy places the organism in Eukaryota, Metazoa, Chordata, Amphibia, Anura, Pelobatidae.